This is a long non-coding RNA of Anguilla anguilla (European eel), 838 nucleotides long. RefSeq lists it as uncharacterized. NCBI's taxonomy places the organism in Eukaryota, Metazoa, Chordata, Actinopteri, Anguilliformes, Anguillidae. The transcript has 6 exons. The record is from RefSeq and is a predicted model, not a curated record.
UAUCCAUAGACUCGGUCCAGAAACAGUUUUUUUAAAACGCACUGCGAGCUCCUAACGGACUACUUUAUGUAAAGACCGCUAAACUGGAGCAAGAAGCCAAGAAACAGAUUCAAAUUCAGCGCGAGUGAGCAGUUUCUGUUCGCCCAGGUAUCUUCCCUGCAAAACGAAGCUGGUCUCGUGGCCAUAUCAACGACAUAACCAAGCACCUACGAAUGGACGUUUCACGGUAAUAUUUCCCUCAGGUAGUCGUAUUAAAUGAGGUUAAGUGAAAAAGUUUCUCUAGACUGGUUUCGUCAGGGUGGUGAAGGAACAGAAUUCGACGUUCUUCGUUCAGAACUGGUAAUAUUUCCCUCAGGUAGUCGUGUUAAAUGAGGUUAAGUGAAAAAGUUUCUCGAGACUGGCUUCGUCAGGGUGGCGAAGAAACAGAAUUCGACGUUCUUCGUUCAGAACUGGUAAUAUUUCCCUCAAGUAGUCGUGUUAAAUGAGGUUAAGUGAAAAAGUUUCUCGAGACUGGCUUCGUCAGGGUGGCGAAGAAACAGAAUUCGACGUUCUUCGUUCAGAACUGGUAAUAUUUCCCUCAAGUAGUCGUAUUAAAUGAGGUUAAGUGAAAAAGUUUCUCGAGACUGGCUUCGUCAGGGUGGCGAAGAAACAGAAUUCGACGUUCUUCGUUCAGAACUGUAUUUCAGACAAACAAGACAAGAUGGACCAGCAUGCCGCAGAAUUAUAAAGACCACACUGGAGUCGACAGUAAUCUUGCAGAAGUUGGUUAUGCUGAAGCUUUGGUGAGGUCCACACUAUCUUCAGAGGUCACCGUUGAUGUUUCUGCCUGUUGUGUCCC